GUUCUUGGUGAAAGCUUGCGACUCAAUCGUGAGAAUUGCCAGGAAAACUACUUGACUUGGGACCGGAAGAGGUCGGAGGUAUUUCUUGGGUAGGGGUAAAAUCCUGUAAUCCUUGAAGGACCAUCGGUGGCGAAGGCGUCCGACUGGGACGGGUCCGACGGUGAGGCACGAAAGCUAGGGGAGCGACCCGGAUUAGAUACCCGGUUAGUCCUAGCCGUAAAUGAUGUCUGUUUGGUAUUGCGUGGCUUACGAGGCCCCGCAGUGCCGUAGGGAAGCCGUUAAACAGACCGCCUGGGAGUACGCCGCAAGGC
RNAcentral lists this ribosomal RNA (311 nucleotides) under uncultured archaeon. RNAcentral describes it as "bacterial SSU rRNA". It matches the Rfam family "Archaeal small subunit ribosomal RNA", at positions 537 to 849 of the family's 1478-position model. The record is from RNAcentral.